This 34-nucleotide ribosomal RNA is filed under the name Sarocladium strictum. RNAcentral's name for it is "partial 26S ribosomal RNA". Lineage: Eukaryota; Fungi; Ascomycota; Sordariomycetes; Hypocreales; Sarocladiaceae. The record is from RNAcentral.
GACCGCGGAUCAGGUAGGAAUACCCGCUGAACUU